Molecule: ribosomal RNA, 1018 nt
Filed under: uncultured bacterium
Lineage: Bacteria
Description: bacterial SSU rRNA
Rfam family: Bacterial small subunit ribosomal RNA
Source: RNAcentral
AGGAAUAUUGGUCAAUGGACGAGAGUCUGAACCAGCCAAGUAGCGUGCAGGAUGACGGCCCUAUGGGUUGUAAACUGCUUUUAUAAGGGAAUAAAGUUAGUCUCGUGAGACUUUUUGCAUGUACCUUAUGAAUAAGGACCGGCUAAUUCCGUGCCAGCAGCCGCGGUAAUACGGAAGGUCCGGGCGUUAUCCGGAUUUAUUGGGUUUAAAGGGAGCGUAGGCCGGAGAUUAAGCGUGUUGUGAAAUGUAGAUGCUCAACAUCUGAACUGCAGCGCGAACUGGUUUCCUUGAGUACGCACAAAGUGGGCGGAAUUCGUGGUGUAGCGGUGAAAUGCUUAGAUAUCACGAAGAACUCCGAUUGCGAAGGCAGCUCACUGGAGCGCAACUGACGCUGAAGCUCGAAAGUGCGGGUAUCGAACAGGAUUAGAUACCCUGGUAGUCCGCACGGUAAACGAUGGAUGCCCGCUGUUGGUCUGAAUAGGUCAGCGGCCAAGCGAAAGCAUUAAGCAUCCCACCUGGGGAGUACGCCGGCAACGGUGAAACUCAAAGGAAUUGACGGGGGCCCGCACAAGCGGAGGAACAUGUGGUUUAAUUCGAUGAUACGCGAGGAACCUUACCCGGGCUUGAAUUGCAGAGGAAGGAUUUGGAGACAAUGACGCCCUUCGGGGCCUCUGUGAAGGUGCUGCAUGGUUGUCGUCAGCUCGUGCCGUGAGGUGUCGGCUUAAGUGCCAUAACGAGCGCAACCCCUCUCCUUAGUUGCCAUCAGGUUAAGCUGGGCACUCUGGGGACACUGCCACCGUAAGGUGUGAGGAAGGUGGGGAUGACGUCAAAUCAGCACGGCCCUUACGUCCGGGGCUACACACGUGUUACAAUGGCAGGUACAGAGAGACGGUCCCUUGCAAAACGGAUCAAAUCCUUAAAGCCUGUCUCAGUUCGGACUGGGGUCUGCAACCCGACCCCACGAAGCUGGAUUCGCUAGUAAUCGCGCAUCAGCCAUGGCGCGGUGAAUACGUUCCCG